Molecule: long non-coding RNA, 2492 nt
Organism: Chrysemys picta bellii (western painted turtle)
Lineage: Eukaryota; Metazoa; Chordata; Testudines; Emydidae
Source: RefSeq, a predicted model, not a curated record
GGGAGAUGCAGUUCUUCCACCACUCUUCCUGGGUCGGCCUGCAAUUCCCAUGAUACCGCGCGCCCGGAACGUGUUCUGGCGAUCGCCCUAACCCGUUCUGCCUUUAGGAGUUCGGUCCCCCUGCUGGGACAGGAGGAGGCGCGGGGCGGGUCCCACGGGCUCCCCUAGGGAAGAGCCCCGAGCUGGGGAUUAGCGAGCACGAGGCAGGCUGCCAAAGGGCCCCGACCCUGCAGGGAAACCCACGUGGUGCCCAGCCCCGUUGGGGCUCCUUGCGGGCGCUGGGCUUCGUGGAGGGCGCUGCGGGACAUGAAGUUUCCCCAAGCGCGUGAAGGGACCCAGCUCAUCUGCCUGCACCAAUGCUGUGUCAUUCCUCCUGCUGCAGACCGGCCACGUAGGGGUUGCUGCUCAUAACUGUGCCAGCGUGCAGUGGAGUGAAAUUAACUAAAGCACAGAUUUCAGCCUUACUCUUUCAGUAACUCCGCAAUGUGUGUGCUGUAGGGCCAGGGCCGGCACCAGGCACCCAAGCACAUGCUUGGGGCGGCACCUGUGCACUCCUUCACGUCUCAGGCUUUGUACGUUCAUCUCUCCUGGAAUGGAAUCAUGCAAUUCUCCCACUCUAAAGGCUGGGCCCAAGACUACAGACCUUCAGCUUCUGAAAGUGAAACCAUGACACCAGGAGGGCAGAAGCAGCACCCCACAGACAACAGGAGGCAGACAGAGAAGGACCCUGAAAGAGCAGCUCACAAGGAUGGAUAGGAGAAACCAGGAGCAGUUUGAAUUCCUCAGGAUGUGGGAGGAGUGGGAUAUUCAGCAAGAAGAGACACUGAUGAACUGGUUCAUGGAGCAGGCAGCACAUAUAGGGAAUGGGAGCAUUCCUUAAUGGAGAGGCUCAUUGAACUGGUAGUCGAAUGAGUUUGGGUUCUGCUGAGGCCACAGAACCAGAAACUGCCACCUCCUCCUCCUCCAGCUGUUGCCCAGGGUGCUGCUGAGCCAUGGAAUCCUGAUUCAAGAACCCCCCCCCCCAAGUGACCUGAAAGAGAACAUGGAAACUGCAGGAUUCCCAGGACCUCAUCCUCCAUCAGCACCUGAAACCCCUCACAGGGGAAUCCACCUGAGAUUCCAGGAGGUGAACAAUCAGCCUGUGGGAGUCUCUGAAUCUCACCAAGUGCCUGCCCCCAAAUCCCUCUCAGAGGAUAUCCCAGGUUUUUCCUGAAUCACUUUUCCCUGUUGUAUCCCCUUUUGUCAGGAGGAGGGCAAGGAGAUGAGUGCAGAGACAUUUGGGCAGUGUUCCCACUUGCAUUCCCUUUAUUUUUUAAAGAUUUGUUGCUGACCUUUCUUGUUAAAAAAUAUUUCAAUUAAACAUUCCAUCUAAUACUUUUGAUAAAUGUUAUAUUUUCCUUGACAUGUGUAUGGCCCCUCCUUCCUAAGUAUGAUGAACUGAAGAUAUUUUGAGGCUCAGAACUGGGCACAUAAGGUCAUUGAGAGAGAUUGAGUGCUCCUGAUAACAGAGGUUUGUAAGCAAGUGUGACUAAUCAAGAUAAAAUCACUGAACACUGUGCAACUUGGUCUCCACCUUCCACUUGACAAGCCCAACCCCAAAGUGAUAAACCAAGGAAGAUAUAUUGUGAUGAUUGUCUUAAAUGUGUGCAAUGUCACUGUGUCACGGAAAGGCUAACAACCUUUUGCUACAGGGGAACAAAACCCUCACAAAACUGUGUAGCUCCACAAGUAUGUACCAAUGAUUCCUCGCAUGUAUUCCAGCAGCUGUACAGGAUAUGAAGGUGUCCAGCCACACUGGCAGAUGUAAUUUUCUGUCUCCCUGCUGUGCCAAGAUAUGUGCACAUAUGGCAUCCCUGAUUUCCCUCGCCUACUGAGAACUAGGACCAGUUUGCACCUGGAUGGGAUCUGGCUGCCUGUUCAGAGUUUAUAAACUGGACUUGUCUUGAGCCCAUCUGGGACAGAAAUACUCUCCGUUUAUCCUCACAAACAUUAUGCAACAGCAGGUGAUGCCAGAUUGGCAUCCAGAUGAGUGCAUAGGCACAGCCUAUGAGGUUUCAGCAUACCAUGACAAUUCUACAGCUACUAAGCUUGUAGCUGAAUUCCCGUUUUCCAGGGUUAUUGCCGUCAGGGUAUAGUUUCAUGAGCCAAGGCAGGAGUGGAUAUUUGGGGUCCCCCAAAAUAACAGUUUUUUAUAUAUCUCACUAUACAGAACAAUAUUGUUUCUGGGAAAUAAUACAUCCUGGCAUUUUGAAUCUUUCCAGAGUUUCCUGCACUUGUAUUCAUGAAUCUGCCUCUGUGGUCCGCUAAGCCUUGUAGAAUGAGUGUAUACUAACCUUUUUGGUUCAAAUACUCACUUGCUCCAUGUGGUGGGCAAAGUACUAGGAUAUGGGUGUGAUGGGUUGGACCACAGAAACCCCCUUGGGAACUGCCACCUGAUGUGCCAAGACUACUACUGCCCCUGCUUUCCCUGCCAGCUUGGGACUCCAGUACCU